CUUUUGACUACAUUAGUUUCCUAUAGUACAAGAGGAAACAUAGUACAACGGAAAUCCUCCGUUACUUUGGUACUUGGAAAGGACUGCAGGUCAGCCUCCUUCCCACUGAUUAUGGGCCCUGGUCUGGAAUGGGUUCUAUUUUGGGGAGGAAGGUACAUGCCUCCCCCUCCUGGUUUGGAUUUGAUACGUUGGGAUAUCCUUGCUUUACAUGGGGACUCUUUUAAACUUGUUAUGACUCUCCAUUGCCCUCUGUUGGUAAAAAUCGAAAGAUGCAUUGUUGGCAUAUCCAAUCAUUUUCAAAUUGCAAAUUAGGAUAUUGUAAAAACUGACAUGCUGCAUUGAUAUAUCUCUGUUUUCCAAUAGCUUGAAAAGUUGUAACUAUUUUAUAUAUGAGACAAUAUUAUGUUGCUUGUUCUUCACAUUACUUAUGUUGUUUAUAUUUUCAUGGUUGUAACCACACGUUUAAGGACUAG
This is a non-coding RNA of Pelobates cultripes (western spadefoot toad), 473 nucleotides long. NCBI's taxonomy places the organism in Eukaryota, Metazoa, Chordata, Amphibia, Anura, Pelobatidae. The record is from the annotation of a GenBank genome assembly.